UCUCACCACUCUCCAUUGUCACUCAAGGAUUUCUUUCUUCUCCAUCAUCAUCUUAAGAUGUCUAUGUCAAUGGCUUGAUUUUUGGCAAGUUCUUUAGGCAUAAUUUGGGAAAUCAAGGGUUCAUCAUCAUUCUUUUGCUUGCGUUGAGUGGCCAUUUAUUGAAAAUUUCUGUGGAGUCAUUAAGAAUUUGAGUCCUUGGGCAUUGAUCUUAUCACUAAGCUUAUAGCAUAAACUCACC
This 238-nucleotide long non-coding RNA is filed under the name Spirodela polyrhiza (greater duckweed). RNAcentral describes it as "long non-coding RNA (SPOL_LNC002686)". Lineage: Eukaryota; Viridiplantae; Streptophyta; Magnoliopsida; Alismatales; Araceae. The record is from RNAcentral.